This 1540-nucleotide ribosomal RNA is filed under the name Escherichia coli. Its description in RNAcentral is "partial 23S ribosomal RNA". It matches the Rfam family "Bacterial large subunit ribosomal RNA", at positions 165 to 1746 of the family's 2925-position model. The record is from RNAcentral. Lineage: Bacteria; Pseudomonadati; Pseudomonadota; Gammaproteobacteria; Enterobacterales; Enterobacteriaceae.
CAUAGGUUAAUGAGGCGAACCGGGGGAACUGAAACAUCUAAGUACCCCGAGGAAAAGAAAUCAACCGAGAUUCCCCCAGUAGCGGCGAGCGAACGGGGAGCAGCCCAGAGCCUGAAUCAGUGUGUGUGUUAGUGGAAGCGUCUGGAAAGGCGCGCGAUACAGGGUGACAGCCCCGUACACAAAAAUGCACAUGCUGUGAGCUCGAUGAGUAGGGCGGGACACGUGGUAUCCUGUCUGAAUAUGGGGGGACCAUCCUCCAAGGCUAAAUACUCCUGACUGACCGAUAGUGAACCAGUACCGUGAGGGAAAGGCGAAAAGAACCCCGGCGAGGGGAGUGAAAAAGAACCUGAAACCGUGUACGUACAAGCAGUGGGAGCACGCUUAGGCGUGUGACUGCGUACCUUUUGUAUAAUGGGUCAGCGACUUAUAUUCUGUAGCAAGGUUAACCGAAUAGGGGAGCCGAAGGGAAACCGAGUCUUAACUGGGCGUUAAGUUGCAGGGUAUAGACCCGAAACCCGGUGAUCUAGCCAUGGGCAGGUUGAAGGUUGGGUAACACUAACUGGAGGACCGAACCGACUAAUGUUGAAAAAUUAGCGGAUGACUUGUGGCUGGGGGUGAAAGGCCAAUCAAACCGGGAGAUAGCUGGUUCUCCCCGAAAGCUAUUUAGGUAGCGCCUCGUGAAUUCAUCUCCGGGGGUAGAGCACUGUUUCGGCAAGGGGGUCAUCCCGACUUACCAACCCGAUGCAAACUGCGAAUACCGGAGAAUGUUAUCACGGGAGACACACGGCGGGUGCUAACGUCCGUCGUGAAGAGGGAAACAACCCAGACCGCCAGCUAAGGUCCCAAAGUCAUGGUUAAGUGGGAAACGAUGUGGGAAGGCCCAGACAGCCAGGAUGUUGGCUUAGAAGCAGCCAUCAUUUAAAGAAAGCGUAAUAGCUCACUGGUCGAGUCGGCCUGCGCGGAAGAUGUAACGGGGCUAAACCAUGCACCGAAGCUGCGGCAGCGACGCUUAUGCGUUGUUGGGUAGGGGAGCGUUCUGUAAGCCUGUGAAGGUGUACUGUGAGGUAUGCUGGAGGUAUCAGAAGUGCGAAUGCUGACAUAAGUAACGAUAAAGCGGGUGAAAAGCCCGCUCGCCGGAAGACCAAGGGUUCCUGUCCAACGUUAAUCGGGGCAGGGUGAGUCGACCCCUAAGGCGAGGCCGAAAGGCGUAGUCGAUGGGAAACAGGUUAAUAUUCCUGUACUUGGUGUUACUGCGAAGGGGGGACGGAGAAGGCUAUGUUGGCCGGGCGACGGUUGUCCCGGUUUAAGCGUGUAGGCUGGUUUUCCAGGCAAAUCCGGAAAAUCAAGGCUGAGGCGUGAUGACGAGGCACUACGGUGCUGAAGCAACAAAUGCCCUGCUUCCAGGAAAAGCCUCUAAGCAUCAGGUAACAUCAAAUCGUACCCCAAACCGACACAGGUGGUCAGGUAGAGAAUACCAAGGCGCUUGAGAGAACUCGGGUGAAGGAACUAGGCAAAAUGGUGCCGUAACUUCGGGAGAAGG